This 270-nucleotide ribosomal RNA is filed under the name uncultured bacterium. RNAcentral's name for it is "partial 16S ribosomal RNA". It matches the Rfam family "Bacterial small subunit ribosomal RNA", at positions 524 to 791 of the family's 1533-position model. The record is from RNAcentral.
GACAGAGGUGCCAAGCGUUAGGCGGAAUCACUGGGCGUAAAGGGUGCGUAGGCGGGUCUUUAAGUCAGGGGUGAAAUCCUGGAGCUCAACUCCAGAACUGCCUUUGAUACUGAGGAUCUUGAGUUCGGGAGAGGUGAGUGGAACUGCGAGUGUAGAGGUGAAAUUCGUAGAUAUUCGCAAGAACACCAGUGGCGAAGGCGGCUCACUGGCCCGAUACUGACGCUGAGGCACGAAAGCGUGGGGAGCAAACAGGGAUUAGAAAACCCUGGU